This is a transfer RNA of Basidiobolus meristosporus CBS 931.73, 82 nucleotides long. It matches the Rfam family "tRNA". Rfam says of the family: Transfer RNA (tRNA) molecules are approximately 80 nucleotides in length. Their secondary structure includes four short double-helical elements and three loops (D, anti-codon, and T loops). Further hydrogen bonds mediate the characteristic L-shaped molecular structure. tRNAs have two regions of fundamental functional importance: the anti-codon, which is responsible for specific mRNA codon recognition, and the 3' end, to which the tRNAs corresponding amino acid is attached (by aminoacyl-tRNA synthetases). tRNAs cope with the degeneracy of the genetic code in two manners: having more than one tRNA (with a specific anti-codon) for a particular amino acid; and 'wobble' base-pairing, i.e. permitting non-standard base-pairing at the 3rd anti-codon position. The record is from Rfam. NCBI's taxonomy places the organism in Eukaryota, Fungi, Basidiobolomycota, Basidiobolomycetes, Basidiobolales, Basidiobolaceae.
GUUGAGGUAGCCGGGUGGUCUGAGGCGCUGCGUUCAGGCCGCAGUCUCUUCGGAGGCGUGGGUUCGAACCCCGCCCUCAUCA